AGGCCUAUACUUUCAGCGAUCAUUUCUGUAGUUGGUCACUAGAGGAGCGUGAUCAUGUUUGACUGGCAUCACAAGCCAUGAGGAGGAUCGAAGUGUUCUCUCCUGCGUGAAGCAGGCAGGUGGUGCUGCUUGGGCAGGAGCUGCCUGCCAUUGAUGACUGUUCCUGGCCCUGCUUGCGGGGCCAGGAGAGAGUGAGCAUGGGCUGAGUGGA
Phalacrocorax carbo (great cormorant) is the source of this 211-nucleotide non-coding RNA. Lineage: Eukaryota; Metazoa; Chordata; Aves; Suliformes; Phalacrocoracidae. The record is from Rfam.